AUGUUUCUGUGGGGUCACCAAAGGUCAUUCAUUAGACCUCAUAGGGACUGGUUUCUGUCUGCUGCUUCUCUGUGGAUCUUCCUCACCUGCAGACCAUCAGCUCCAUUAGCUGCAGCUGCUUAAGUAUCGGCUGGGUCUGUGGUGGAGUGACCUGACAGCGGUGUGGAGAUGGCUUGUGGAGUACUCGUGGGGAUCUGGUUGCUUCUUGUGCAAGCAGAGCAUGGGUGUUCCUGGGCCACAGCAGCACCAAGCUCCCAGAACGCUGACCAACGUGUUGGCUUCCAGCAGCCGGAUGGCAGACUGAGGACACUCGGUGGCCCCCCCCAGAAGCCGCUCAGACAAGUUGUCUCUUCUCCUCGCUCCGCCUGGUGGAGCAGCUCCGGCGCUCGGCCUGCAGCUGAUGGCGGUUCUGGUCCAGGAGUCGGUCCAAACGCAGAAGCUGCUUCCCAGACAGAGCCAAGUCCAGAGCAGAGCAGCCUGCUUCCAAAAUCGGACAAACAAGGGAAAUAUUCAAGCACGAUUAAAGUGCAGACUCGGACUCAGAAGUUUGGUUCUGCUGCUGUUCCCAGAGGAGCUUCUGUGUCUCUGGACCAUCAGAACUGGAGGGACCGCGCUGGAACUGGACUGUUUCCGAGUUCACUGCACCUGGGCAAACCUCCACCCAGCAGCUCCACAUCUGGUUCCGGUUCUUCUGGGAAGAGCCCGUCCUUCGGUGGGUCUGCACAGCAGGAACCUUCCAGCUCCUUCAUACGCCAGGCUUCUGCUUCGCUGUUCAGUCCAGUUGGACCAGCACCACCAGACCAGAGAGUCUGGAUGCAGACGUACGCUCGAGCUCCUGCACGCAAAAAGACCCCACAGCGUGGAGCUAAAGCUGCAAGCCUGUCCUCUGAGACUAGAAACCCCGGGAGCAGGCCCGGUUCUGAGACCGGGCCAAAACCCGCUGGAAGCUACAAACCCAAGAUCCUGAGUGUGGAGCGGCCGGCUCCGGGCUUCCUUCCAGCUAAAGUCUACGACAUCCCGCAGCCCUUUGGUGGGUGGGCUAUUAGACGGCUUGGACACUCAGACCAGAACCAGCUGGAGGUCCAGAAACCCAAGCUGAGGCCUGCACCUCCUCCAGAGCGGACCCAGGGUCCACAGCAGAAGGACCUCCUCAAGGCCAAGGUCCCAAGUCUUCAUCCAGAGUCCAAAUGGAGAAGAGUGAAGCUGCGUCCCAAACUGUAGUAG
RNAcentral lists this long non-coding RNA (1224 nucleotides) under Oryzias sinensis (Chinese medaka). RNAcentral describes it as "lncRNA (ENSOSIG00000010230.1)". The record is from RNAcentral. Lineage: Eukaryota; Metazoa; Chordata; Actinopteri; Beloniformes; Adrianichthyidae.